CUCUUCGGGGAUGAUUAAACCGGCGCACGGGUGAGUAACACGUGAGUGACCUGCCUUUUAGACUGGAACAACUUACCGAAAGGUGAGCUAAUGCCGGAUGAGUUAUAUAAGUGCAUGUUUAUAUAGGAAAAGUUGGGGAGACCUGACGCUGAAAGAUGGACUCGCGUCCCAUUAGCUAGUUGGUAGGGUAAUGGCCUACCAAGGCGACGAUGGGUAGCCGGCCUGAGAGGGUGGCCGGCCACACUGGGACUGAGACACGGCCCAGACUCCUACGGGAGGCAGCAGUGGGGAAUUUUGCGCAAUGCUCGUAAGAGUGACGCAGCGACGCCGCGUGAAUGACGAAGGCCUUCGGGUCGUAAAGUUCUUUCGACAGGGAAGAAAAUGCCUAUAAGUAACUGUGUAUGUAUUGACGGUACCUGUAUAAGCAGCCCCGGCUAACUCCGUGCCAGCAGCCGCGGUAAUACGGAGGGGGCGAGCGUUGUUCGGAGUGACUGGGCGUAAAGAGCACGUAGGCGGUGUUGUAAGUCAUUAGUCAAAGACUAGAGCUCAACUUUAGUAAGGCUAGUGAUACUAUAAUACUAGAGUAUCAGAGAGGAUUGCAGAAUUCCUGGUGUAGCGGUGAAAUGCGUAGAUAUCAGGAGGAAUACCGUUAGCGAAGGCGGCGAUCUGGCUGGAAACUGACGCUGAGGUGCGAAAGCGUGGGUAGCAAAC
RNAcentral lists this ribosomal RNA (711 nucleotides) under uncultured bacterium. Its description in RNAcentral is "bacterial SSU rRNA". It matches the Rfam family "Bacterial small subunit ribosomal RNA", at positions 76 to 773 of the family's 1533-position model. The record is from RNAcentral.